Molecule: RNA transcript, 957 nt
Organism: Corticium candelabrum
Lineage: Eukaryota; Metazoa; Porifera; Homoscleromorpha; Homosclerophorida; Plakinidae
Exons: 4
Source: RefSeq, a predicted model, not a curated record
ACGUAUGCAUACUUGUAUACUGUGCAGACACACAUACCUACAUGUAUGCAUUAACAUAUUACCUCUCUUGACACAGACAACAAACCACAUUAUUGUAAGAAAACUAGGCUAAUAUGUUCCAUACAAUUAUGUGUGUUGCAGCAGAUGAUCAUUCACUAAAAUCAGACUAAACAAACUUUGCAAAGAAUAAAGCAGAAUGUGCACCUACUAAAAAUAUCAUUGUUCAGGAGCCAAGAAGUGUUACAGUUAGUGAAUCACAACCACUCUCUCAUCCGAAGCAACUACCUCUAACUAUGACAAACGAAAUUUACAAAAUCUCCAAAGUAUUUUAAUGCCUCCUAUUCUUCGAAAACGUGGCCGUCCAAAAGGCCAUGAAUUGACUGUGAUUGGUUUACCGGCUAAGAAGAAAGCAAAGACAGGAAAAGUACAACCAUUCAUUAAAUUACACAUAUCAUUGAAAGAAAGAGUCAUGUUAGCAUGGUUUGUUGAUGACAAUAUAGCAGCUGCUGCACUACAAAAUCCCAAGACGCUGAUCAAUGAAUCAGACAUCAAAGUUCAGCAAGAAAACAUCUCUAAUGCAGUCCUUGAUGACAAUGUUGACUUGCACAUAAUUCGAAAGUUUUUCACCGAUGAUGCCUGGCUACUACUUACAGAUGUUGUCAAGCAGAAACGUAAACAUUGCAGUUAUGUUUGCCAAGUUUGCUUUCGCAACUUGGAUGAGGAAGCAUCAAUUUUGUGUGACCAUUGCCUCUUGUGGUCCUACAUGAGUUGUAUUGGUCUUAAAGAAAGACCCAAAUCAAAGUGGUGGUUUUGCCGAAGCUGUCACAAGACUAGCAAAUAAGAUAAACUGGCUGUAGAGGCAACCGUUGCUAUGUAAAUUAGACACGUGUGUGUAUUAUGUGCAAGCUAUGCAGUGUUGUUUGACUAUAUAUUAAGAGCAAGAUCUGGCAGAGCAGA